CGCAUCUGUGCAUGCAGCAUAUCAAUAAGCGGAGGAAAAGAAACUAACAAGGAUUCCCUUAGUAACGGCGAGUGAAGCGGGAAGAGCUCAAAUUUGAAAUCUUCAAGGUUUUACCUUGACGAAUUGUAGUUUAAAGAAGUGUUUUCUGUUGAAGUUUUGGUAAAAGUUCUUUGGAAUAGGACAUCAUAGAGGGUGAGAAUCCCGUAUUUGACCAUUAUUUUCAGCUGUGUGAUACACUUUCAAAGAGUCGGAUUGUUUGGGAAUGCAGUCCAAAAUGGGUGGUAAAUUUCAUCUAAAGCUAAAUAUUGGCGAGAGACCGAUAGCGAACAAGUACCGUGAGGGAAAGAUGAAAAGAACUUUGAAAAGAGAGUUAAACAGUACGUGAAAUUGUCAAAAGGGAAGCGUUUGACACCAGUGUUGUUUUCUCGAAAAUCAAUUAAAAAGAGUUUGAUUUUGUUGCGUAUUGACCUUAACAGCUUGCAUUUCAAUUUUCUUGCUUUUUUUAAUGCACUUUUCGUUUAACAAGUCAACAUCAGUUUCUUUUGUUGUAAAAAGGUCAUUGGAAGGUGGCUUUCUUUUCGGAGAAAGUGUUUAUAGCCUUUGACUCCUGCAAUCGGAGAGACUGAGGUCUGCAGCGUAGAUCCUUCGGGGUUAGAUACAUUUGUGCUAAGUUAUAGCUUUUUAUAGACAACUUGUUGACUAUGAUUAGUCUUGUAGCUUACUCGCUUAUGCUAUUUUACCUACGCUUAGGAUGUUGAAGACUCUACAGAGAUA
Molecule: ribosomal RNA, 774 nt
Filed under: uncultured Neocallimastigales
Lineage: Eukaryota; Fungi; Neocallimastigomycota; Neocallimastigomycetes; Neocallimastigales
Description: partial large subunit ribosomal RNA
Rfam family: Eukaryotic large subunit ribosomal RNA
Source: RNAcentral